GUUACCGGCCAAAGGGCGUGGGAACCACCCGAUCCCAUUCCGAACUCGGAAGUUAAACCACGCUCCGUCCCCGGUUGUAGUAUGGUCUUCGGCCAUGCGAAGCCGGGGAAGCUGGUAACC
RNAcentral lists this ribosomal RNA (120 nucleotides) under Candidatus Bathyarchaeota archaeon. The record is from RNAcentral. Lineage: Archaea; Thermoproteati; Candidatus Bathyarchaeota.